Molecule: long non-coding RNA, 1352 nt
Organism: Cebus imitator (Panamanian white-faced capuchin)
Lineage: Eukaryota; Metazoa; Chordata; Mammalia; Primates; Cebidae
Exons: 3
Source: RefSeq, a predicted model, not a curated record
CCAUGAACCUCUCCUCACUACUUUUGCCCAAGCACCCAUCCCUCUACCAUACCACCGACGUUUAAGGAAAUGGUGGCUCCAUCCCCAACCCAGGCAAAUGUAUUCUGAUGAUUUUGAGCCAUUUAUAGUAGUUCCGUGGUAUCCUUUUCAGGCCAAAGAGAUAUGAGGAGGAGUUGGAUGAAGGUCCUGGAAAAAUUUCUCCACUUUUAAGUAGGUAACACCGAAAAAUCAGACCUUUUCAACUCCUCCUUUCAUUCUGCCUGGAUGUGAUGGCUAGAAAUGCUACCAGCUGAGGAAGAAGCCAAAACGUGAAGGACAGAAUCAAAAUGCGGGGAAGCUGAGCUGGAACCCUGGCAAACCAGGCUGGAGUUGCCCUACCUCGGUUUUAGGCACUUUGAGUCAGGGCUUUCGGGUACUUACAGUCAAAGGCAUCUAAAUUCACCAUAGCAUUGUGUAAGAGGCAAAAUACCCUGACUUACUCAACCCUCCAGAAAUCCCUUUGUUACUUUGUUGUCCUUUGGUGGAAAACAUUUCCCAGAAUUCUUUUCUGGGAAAAUAAAAAAUCCCUGCUGAGAACUUAGCCCAGUGCUACACUGAGAAAUGUACUAAAUAGUUACCAAUGAUUGCUAUGAUCUGCUUUUUUUCUUUUAAUCACUAUUUCCAUUUGAUUAUUAUAACUUGUGACUGCAAAAUAAUUUAAAGUUUGCAAAUUGCUUUGUGUCAUUUCAUUUAAUUCCAAUAGCUGUCCUAUGAUAUAGAGGAAAAGAUGUGUGAAAAAAUGGAGCACAGAAAGAUUACAAUAUUUGACCAAGACCAGGAAUCUCGAAAAUGUCUAGGAAUCUCGAAAAUGUCUUAAAUCUAAGUCCUCAAAGCUAGUGCUGUUUCCAUCAAAUCACAGCUAGAGGUGAGAGCAAACCUAUGGGUUAUGAUGAAGGAAACAUUUGCAAAAGAGAAGCAGGAAGGCAGCUCCAGCCCACUUGCAAGGAAACCGGGAUCUGCUCCGGGCUAUGUCAUCUGCUAGCUGUGAAAACCUAGGCUGAAAUAGGAGGGUAUUAAUCCUGUCUCAAGUUGUCCAUCCAGCAGUUGUUCUCUAAAUCAAGUUCUUUUCGUCAUCAGUAGCUCCACUAACGGGCAAAAUUCUUUCUCCUUGCCAGUCCUAAACCCUUAAGAGGUAGCAUCUCUGUUCUCUACCUUUAGCCAAAUCUGAAUUAAUCUGUUCAGAAUGAACAGCAGAAUAGUCUUUGGAUUUGAUUCAAAUCCCUGAAGCACUUUGGGAAUGAGAAUGGCGGUACCAGCCAGAGAGACCCUGGCGACUUAUGAUGCCACAGAACACCUCAGACGCUUGAGACUGG